This is a non-coding RNA of Paramuricea clavata, 300 nucleotides long. Lineage: Eukaryota; Metazoa; Cnidaria; Anthozoa; Malacalcyonacea; Plexauridae. The record is from the annotation of a GenBank genome assembly.
CUAUUUCAGACAAUUUGCUUUAGUUUAAGCCCCUUUAACUAUUCGCGCAAACUUACAUUUUUUCCUAAAAAUUAGAUAUUUGCAUGCUAAUUAAUGUCUUUGCCUAAUUUGUAUAUGUCAGCAAUAUGCAAAUUAAGUAAAGCCAUUAAUUAAGCAUGCGAAAGGCUGAUUUUUUAGGGAAAAAUGAAUAGUUAAAGGCUUCAACUAAAGCAAACUGUCUGACAUUUUGUAUAGUAAUUAAAAACCCAACAAAGUUUCCAUCUAUUAACUCAAAAUAUGAUUAAAGCUUUUAAAUUUCGU